This 469-nucleotide long non-coding RNA is filed under the name Brassica napus (rape). Its description in RNAcentral is "long non-coding RNA (BNAP_LNC006790)". Lineage: Eukaryota; Viridiplantae; Streptophyta; Magnoliopsida; Brassicales; Brassicaceae. The record is from RNAcentral.
UUGCUUUCUAUGGCUGGUUUUGUUUGUAUAUGAUUAUAGUUGUUUGUGGUCUUUCUUAAACUAUAUUUGUGUUUUUAUCUUAUAUGCAUAGUAAAUGGUGUAGUAAUAUUGUUUCGAUAUGGAAUAGCAUAUGUGUUACAUAUGGGUUCUACUGUCUGGAAAUGACAUGAUCUUCAUUAGGUAUAUUCAAUUUGACGUGAAAUAUAAUAAAAUAUAGACGUUUGUAUUCCAUUUGACUUGGAAUAAAAUAAAUUCGAACAUUUAAUAUCACCUUCUUUAAUUUCUGAAUUCAUACUUGUGUUUUAUUUAUGUAUUUUUAUACUUUUACUAGGAUUUAUAUUUCUGUGUAGGGUUUGGUGAUGAUUGGAGAGGGGUUAGCUUUAGGAAAUUUAGUUCGUCAUUGCAAGAUUGGGGUUGACAUUGGAUUAAGUGUCAUAUUUCUGUUUAGGAUUUCAUGAUUAGUUGAUAG